Anthonomus grandis grandis is the source of this 607-nucleotide long non-coding RNA. RefSeq lists it as uncharacterized. The transcript has 3 exons. Lineage: Eukaryota; Metazoa; Arthropoda; Insecta; Coleoptera; Curculionidae. The record is from RefSeq and is a predicted model, not a curated record.
UAAAUGGAUCAAAAUUAAUGUAAACCUAACCAAUCUUGAUGCAUUUAAGGAAAUUUCAAUUUGCCAUAAGUUUUUUGAAUAAGAUUAGAGACAUGUAUGACAACGCAUCUAUGCAGUUAUUUUUGAAAAAAUAGGAAAAGAAGAAAAAUACAAAAUGUUUUUAGAGCACACCUAAAAGUUUGUGGCCCAACCAAACAAGAUGCAAUUUACUUAAAAUAUUGGUUAAUUUGGCUUUAAUGGUACCUCUUUUACCUCAUCUUGACAUGAUUUGGUAAUUUCUUGUCAGGAUGCCCAAGAAAUUACCAUUUGAUUGGAAACUUAGCGAGUCUCCAUUUUCUUUUUUUCCUUCUUCGAUUGCUUCGCCUUGAAGGUGUGAUGGUGUUGAAUUCUGUGAUGCUCCACGAGUGACUCCAGAACAGCCUGUUUUCUCUACAAGGAGAACCAAGACUUCAUGCAGCCAGUUGAAUUGGUGAGACUUUAUGUAGAUGGAGACCAGAGUGACUAGUAGAAUAUGGACAUCUGGCCGAAGCCCAUAUAACCUGGAUUCUGUAUUCAUGUCCUGCUCGUUAUAAAAAUUUUCAUAAUUAAAUUUAACCUGUGGUAUUCA